GCGUGGCUAUGCCAAGGUGGGCGGGGCUGCGGGCCGGAGGGAAAAGUCCGGGUUUUGCGGACUUUUGCGGCUGCCCUGUUUGAUUCUACUAGGCCUCCCUCCAGGCAUAAACUGAAAUUCGGGAUGUUAAACGCUGGAGAAGUUUGAUUUGCGCCAGUGAUGAGGUCAGGCCUCCUGCACUUCGGAAAGACCCGCCAAGCUUCCAAGUUAGGAGGUGUUCCAGCUCUGCCUGCCAACUAACACAUUCAUCGCUUUUUUCUUCCUUUCCUCCCUUCUGCUUCUUCCAUCCCCUUUUUCCUUUUCUUCUCUUCCCUUCCUGAACUGUUUCUGUUGCACAUACCAACAUCACUGAAAAUGUUUUGUCAGUAAAGAUAUCCUAGUGGGGAAAAACAAAAUGAAUUUAGGGUUCUUGUGUAAACCCGCUCUUUCCCAACACGCAUUUCUUGAAUUUUUCUGGGUGAUCUCACUAAACGGACCAGAGUGGUUCAGGGUGAUCACCUCAAGCUACGCCAGGUUCCUGAGAGGAUUGCAAGCCCAGUAGCUCAAGGCAGCAGGAGAGAGAAGUCAUAGUCCUACAAUUAUUAGUCAAUUGAUUUUACCUCAAAGCAUUCAGAGUUUGUUCCUCAUGGCCUCAAGAAAAAUCAUUAUCUGCCAAUACUUCCUUCACUCCCACUUUUGCUUAUUUUUGUCCGCUUAAUCCACAUUACAGCAGCAACAACAAAAACAAAAACCCUAAAGUUAGAGAAACCCCUUCACCCCAAAUGUGAUUUGCCUUUGGAUGCCCACAGACUUGUAGGUUAGACAGGACAAGCAUGCAGGUGAGAAAACAGGUGCAGAAAGGUGCAACAACUUGCCUAAAUGGAAGAGUGUCACAUCCAAAAUUAGAAACUAGAAAUCCUAACUCCUGU
This 908-nucleotide long non-coding RNA is filed under the name Marmota monax (woodchuck). The record is from RNAcentral. Lineage: Eukaryota; Metazoa; Chordata; Mammalia; Rodentia; Sciuridae.